This 482-nucleotide ribosomal RNA is filed under the name uncultured bacterium. Its description in RNAcentral is "partial 16S ribosomal RNA". It matches the Rfam family "Bacterial small subunit ribosomal RNA", at positions 28 to 507 of the family's 1533-position model. The record is from RNAcentral.
GAUGAACGCUAGCGGCAGGCCUAAUACAUGCAAGUCGGACGGGAUUCAGGAGCUUGCUUCUGAUGAGAGUGGCGCACGGGUGCGUAACACGUAUGUAACCUACCUUUAUCAGGGGGAUAGCCUCUCGAAAGAGAGAUUAAGCCCGCAUAAAAUCACAGCACAGCAUUGUGUAAUGAUCAAAUAUUUAUAGGAUACAGAUGGGCAUGCGGAACAUUAGCUAGAUGGCGGGGUAACAGCCCACCAUGGCGACGAUGUUUAGGGGAUCUGAGAGGAUGGCCCCCCACACUGGUACUGAGACACGGACCAGACUCCUACGGGAGGCAGCAGUAAGGAAUAUAGGUCAAUGGACGGAAGCCUGAACCAGCCAUGCCGCGUGCAGGAAGACGGCCCUACGGGUUGUAAACUGCUUUUAUACGGGAAUAAACCCAGAUACGUGUAUCUGGCUGAAGGUACUGUAAGAAUAAGGAUCGGCUAACUCCGUG